UGGCGAACGGGUGAGUAACACGUGGGUAACCUGCCCAUCAGAAGGGGAUAACACUUGGAAACAGGUGCUAAUACCGUAUAACACUAUUUUCCGCAUGGAAGAAAGUUGAAAGGCGCUUUUGCGUCACUGAUGGAUGGACCCGCGGUGCAUUAGCUAGUUGGUGAGGUAACGGCUCACCAAGGCAACGAUGCAUAGCCGACCUGAGAGGGUGAUCGGCCACACUGGGACUGAGACACGGCCCAGACUCCUACGGGAGGCAGCAGUAGGGAAUCUUCGGCAAUGGACGAAAAGUCUGACCGAGCAAACGCCGCGUGAGUGAAGAAGGUUUUUCGGAUCGUAAAAACUCUGUUGUUA
RNAcentral lists this ribosomal RNA (354 nucleotides) under Enterococcus casseliflavus. Its description in RNAcentral is "bacterial SSU rRNA". It matches the Rfam family "Bacterial small subunit ribosomal RNA", at positions 96 to 441 of the family's 1533-position model. Lineage: Bacteria; Bacillati; Bacillota; Bacilli; Lactobacillales; Enterococcaceae. The record is from RNAcentral.